This 305-nucleotide ribosomal RNA is filed under the name Clostridioides difficile. RNAcentral's name for it is "bacterial LSU rRNA". It matches the Rfam family "Bacterial large subunit ribosomal RNA", at positions 353 to 660 of the family's 2925-position model. The record is from RNAcentral. Lineage: Bacteria; Bacillati; Bacillota; Clostridia; Peptostreptococcales; Peptostreptococcaceae.
CACCACAGAAGGUAAUAGUCCUGUAUGUUAAACGAGAAGACUUUAGAUAUGAUCCAGAGUACCACGGGACACGUGAAACCCUGUGGGAAGCAGGAGGGACCACCCUCCAAGGCUAAAUACUACCUAGUGACCGAUAGCGUAUAGUACCGUGAGGGAAAGGUGAAAAGAACCCCGGGAGGGGAGUGAAAUAGAACCUGAAACCCUGCACUUACAAGCUGUGGAAGCACAUUUCUUGUGUGACCGCGUACUUUUUGUAGAACGGGCCAACGAGUUACGUUAAGUAGCAAGGUUAAGCACUUAAGGUG